CCCUUAGAUGUUCUGGGCCGCACGCGCGCUACACUGAUGCAUUCAACGAGUCUAAAACCUGCUCUGAUAGGGGUGGGUAAUCUUUUGAAUGUGCAUCGUGAUUGGGAUAGAUGAUUGCAAGUUUUCAUCUUCAACGAGGAAUGCCUAGUAAACGCAAGUCAUCAGCUUGCAUUGAUUACGUCCCUGCCCUUUGUACACACCGCCCGUCGCUCCUACCGAUUGAAUGAUCCGAUGAAUAUCAUGGGUUGAGGAUGCAAGUAGGUUCGCCUAUCUUCAUCUUCGAGAAGUGAAGUAAAUCUUAUCAUUUAGAGGAAGGAGAAGUCGUAACA
RNAcentral lists this ribosomal RNA (329 nucleotides) under uncultured eukaryote. RNAcentral describes it as "partial 18S ribosomal RNA". It matches the Rfam family "Eukaryotic small subunit ribosomal RNA", at positions 1470 to 1796 of the family's 1831-position model. The record is from RNAcentral.